UACGGGGGGGGCAAGCGUUGCUCGGAAUUAUUGGGCGUAAAGCGCACGUAGGUGGUCUGUUAUGUCAGAUGUGAAAGCCCUCGGCUUAACUGAGGAAGUGCACCUGAAACUGGCAGGCUUGAGUACGAAAGAGGGUCGCGGAAUUCCCGGUGUAGAGGUGAAAUUCGUAGAUAUCGGGAGGAACACCGGUGGCGAAGGCGGCGACCUGGUUCGAUACUGACACUGAGGUGCGAAAGCGUGGGGAGCAAACAGG
Molecule: ribosomal RNA, 253 nt
Filed under: uncultured bacterium
Lineage: Bacteria
Description: partial 16S ribosomal RNA
Rfam family: Bacterial small subunit ribosomal RNA
Source: RNAcentral